RNAcentral lists this ribosomal RNA (1493 nucleotides) under uncultured Bordetella sp. RNAcentral's name for it is "partial 16S-23S ribosomal RNA intergenic spacer". It matches the Rfam family "Bacterial small subunit ribosomal RNA". Lineage: Bacteria; Pseudomonadati; Pseudomonadota; Betaproteobacteria; Burkholderiales; Alcaligenaceae. The record is from RNAcentral.
AGUUUGAUCAUGGCCAGAUUGAACGCUGGCGGGAUGCUUUACACAUGCAAGUCGAACGGCAGCACGGACUUCGGUCUGGUGGCGAGUGGCGAACGGGUGAGUAAUGUAUCGGAACGUGCCUAGUAGCGGGGGAUAACUACGCGAAAGCGUAGCUAAUACCGCAUGGCCGGGCCCUUCGGGGGAAAGCGGGGACCUUCGGGCCUCGCACUAUUAGAGCGGCCGAUAUCGGAUUAGCUAGUUGGUGGGGUAACGGCUCACCAAGGCGACGAUCCGUAGCUGGUUUGAGAGGACGACCAGCCACACUGACCGAGACACGGCCCAGACUCCUACGGGAGGCAGCAGUGGGGAAUUUUGGACAAUGGGGGAAACCCCGAUCCAGCCAUCCCGCGUGUGCGAUGAAGGCCUUCGGGUUGUAAAGCACUUUUUGGCAGGAAAGAAACGGCACGGGAUAAUACCCCGUGCAACUGACGGUACCUGCAGAAUAAGCACCGUUAACUACGCGCCAGCAGCCGCGGUAAUACGUAGGGUGCAAGCGUUAAUCGGAAUUACUGGGCGUAAAGCGUGCGCAGGCGGUUCGGAAAGAAAGAUGUGAAAUCCCAGAGCUUAACUUUGGAACUGCAUUUUUAACUACCGAGCUAGAGUGUGUCAGAGGGAGGUGGAAUUCUGGGCGUGUAGCAGUGAAAUGCGUAGAUAUGCGGAGGAACACCGAUGGCGAAGGCAGCCUCCUGGGAUAACACUGACGCUCAUGCACGAAAGCGUGGGGAGCAAACAGGAUUAGAUACCCUGGUAGUCCACGCCCUAAACGAUGUCAACUAGCUGUUGGGGCCUUCGGGCCUUGUAGCGCAGCUAACGCGUGAAGUUGACCGCCUGGGGAGUACGGUCGCAAGAUUAAAACUCAAAGGAAUUGACGGGACUCCGCACAAGCGGUGGAUGAUGUGGAUUAAUCUGAUGCAACGCGAAAAAAACCUUACCUACCCUUGACAUGUCUGGAAUCCUGAAGAGAUUUGGGAGUGCUCGCAAGAGAACCGGAACACAGGUGCUGCAUGGCUGUCGUCAGCUCGUGUCGUGAGAUGUUGGGUUAAGUCCCGCAACGAGCGCAACCUCCUUGUCAUUAGUUGCUACGAAAGGGCACUCUAAUGAGACUGCCGGUGAUAAACCGAGGAAGGUGGGGAUGACGUCAAGUCCUCAUGGCUCUUAUGGGUAGGGCUUCACACGUCAUACAAUGGUCGGGACAGAGGGUCGCCAACCCGCGAGGGGGAGCCAAUCCCAGAAACCCGAUCGUAGUCCGGAUCGAAGACCCGCAACCCGACUGCGUGAAGUCGGAAUCGCUAGUAAUCGCGGAUCAGCAUGUCGCGGUGAAUACGUUCCCGGGUCUUGUACACACCGCCCGUCACACCAUGGGAGUGGGUUUUACCAGAAGUAGUUAGCCUAACCGUAAGGAGGGCGAUUACCACGGUAGGAUUCAUGACUGGGGUGAAGUCGUAACAAGGUAG